UACGGAGGGUGCAAGCGUUAUCCGGAUUCACUGGGCUUAAAGGGUGCGUAGGCGGGCAGGUAAGUCAGUGGUGAAAUCUUUGGGCUUAACCCGAAAACUGCCGUUGAUACUAUCUGUCUUGAAUAUUGUGGAGGUUAGCGGAAUAUGUCAUGUAGCGGUGAAAUGCUUAGAUAUGACAUAGAACACCAAUUGCGAAGGCAGCUAACUACACACAUAUUGACGCUGAGGCACGAAAGCGUGGGGAUCAAACAGG
RNAcentral lists this ribosomal RNA (253 nucleotides) under uncultured bacterium. Its description in RNAcentral is "partial 16S ribosomal RNA". It matches the Rfam family "Bacterial small subunit ribosomal RNA", at positions 524 to 776 of the family's 1533-position model. The record is from RNAcentral.